RNAcentral lists this ribosomal RNA (910 nucleotides) under Ascomycota sp. DV-2018b. RNAcentral describes it as "LSU rRNA". It matches the Rfam family "Eukaryotic large subunit ribosomal RNA", at positions 36 to 965 of the family's 3401-position model. The record is from RNAcentral. Lineage: Eukaryota; Fungi; Ascomycota.
CAGCAUAUCAAUAAGCGGAGGAAAAGAAACCAACUGGGAUUGCCUUAGUAACGGCGAGUGAAGCGGCAAUAGCUCAAAUUUGAAAGCUGGCCCCUUCGGGGUCCGCGUUGUAAUUUGUAGAGGAUGAUUCGGCGAGGGCUCCCGUCUAAGUCCCCUGGAACGGGGCGUCAUAGAGGGUGAGAAUCCCGUAUGUGAUGGGUUGCCUUAGCCAUGUGAAUCUCCUUCGACGAGUCGAGUUGUUUGGGAAUGCAGCUCUAAAUGGGAGGUAAAUUUCUUCUAAAGCUAAAUACCGGCCAGAGACCGAUAGCGCACAAGUAGAGUGAUCGAAAGAUGAAAAGCACUUUGGAAAGAGAGUUAAAAAGUACGUGAAAUUGUUGAAAGGGAAGCGCUUGCAGCCAGACUUGUCCGCAGUUGCUCAGCCGGUCUCCUGACCGGCGUACUCUUCUGCGGCCAGGCCAGCAUCAGUUCGGGCGGUCGGAUAAAGACCUCGGGAAUGUAGCUCCUCUCGGGGAGUGUUAUAGCCCGGGGUGGAAUGCGGCCAGCCUGGACUGAGGAUCUCGCUUCGGCUAGGAUGCUGGCGUAAUGGCUGUAAGCGGCCCGUCUUGAAACACGGACCAAGGAGUCUAACAUCUAUGCGAGUGUUUGGGUGUCAAACCCAUACGCGUAAUGAAAGUGAACGGAGGUGGGAACCCUCACGGGUGCACCAUCGACCGAUCCUGAUGUCUUCGGAUGGAUUUGAGUAAGAGCAUAGCUGUUGGGACCCGAAAGAUGGUGAACUAUGCCUGAAUAGGGUGAAGCCAGAGGAAACUCUGGUGGAGGCUCGCAGCGGUUCUGACGUGCAAAUCGAUCGUCAAAUUUGGGUAUAGGGGCGAAAGACUAAUCGAACCAUCUAGUAGCUGGUCCCUGCGAU